CAACAGGGUGACAGCAGGUGGCACUGGGUGACAGUAGGGUGACAGCAGGGUGACAGCAGGGUGACAGUAGGUGGCACUGGGUGAUGGCAGGGUGACAGCAGGGUGACAGCAGGGUGACAGCAGGUGGCACUGGGUGACAGUAGGUGACAGCAGGGUGACAGCAGGUGACAGUAGGUGGCACUGGGUGAUGGCAGGGUGACAGCAGGGUGACAGCAGGUGGCACUGGGUGACAGUAGGUGACAGCAGGGUGACAGCAGGUGACAGUAGGUGGCACUGGUGAUGGCAGGGUGACAGCAGGGUGACAGCAGGUGACAGUAGGUGGCACUGGGUGGCAGCAGGUGACAGCAGUGGCACUGGGUGACAGCAGGGUGACAGCAGGGUGACAGUAGGGUGACAGUAGGUGACAGCAGGGUGACAGCAGGGUGACAGCAGGUGACACUGGGUGACAAUAGGUGACAGCAGGGUGACAGCAGGUGGCACUGGGUGACAGCAGGUGACAGCAGGGUGACAGCAGGUGACACUGGGUGACAUCAGGUGCCCCCAGGUGACCCCAUGCCCCCCCCAUCCCCAUCCCUGUGCAGCCCUGGGGUCCCUUUUCCUAUGGGGUGGAAGCGCAGUCCUGGCAGUGGGGUGACAGUGGGGUGACAUCAGGUGCCCCCAUGCGACACUGGGUGACAGUGGGUGCCCCAGGUGACAGUGGGUGACAUCAGGUGCCCCCAUGUGACACUGGGUGACAUCAGGUGACCCCUUGUGACCCCACGCCCCCCCCCCUUUGGCAGCUGAGGCGACGCCCUGCGCUCCCCGCGCCCCCCUUUUCCUAUGGGGCGGAGGUUCGAUGCCUGCAGCAGGCGCUGCUCCUCACCCCCUUUGUGGCGGCCCUGGGGGGCGCCUGCUUCCUGGGCACGGCGCUCUGCCUCAGCGGGGAUCGGCUGCGCGACGAGGCCGCCGUGGGCGCCGAGGACGCGGACGGGGAUCUGCUGGUGCCAAGGGGCGGCCGCUCCACCAAAGUGCCGGUGGCUCACGUCCUCGUGUGACCUUGGGGACAUGUGGGGCAUCAAUGGGGACACGUGGGACCUUGGGGACACGUGUGAUGUCAUUGGGGACACGUGUGUCCCACUUUGACUUUGGGGACACGUGUGGCGUCACUGGGGACACGUGUGGCAUUAUGGACACAUAUGACAUCGUUGGGGACACGUGUGACAUCGCUGGGGACACAGGAGUCCCAUUAUGACCUUGGGGACACGUGUGACAUCCUUGGGGACACUUGUGUCCCAUUGUGCCAUCAGGGACACGUAGUGACUU
Long non-coding RNA from Lagopus muta (rock ptarmigan), 1302 nucleotides. RefSeq lists it as uncharacterized. Lineage: Eukaryota; Metazoa; Chordata; Aves; Galliformes; Phasianidae. The record is from RefSeq and is a predicted model, not a curated record. The transcript is spliced from 3 exons.